UACGGGGGGAGCAAGCGUUGUUCGGAUUUACUGGGCGUAAAGGGCGCGUAGGCGGCCACCGCAAGUCACUUGUGAAAUCUCCGGGCUUAACCCGGAAAGGUCAACUGAUACUGCGGGGCUAGAGUGCAGAAGGGGCAACUGGAAUUCUCGGUGUAGCGGUGAAAUGCGUAGAUAUCGAGAGGGACACCUGCGGCGAAGGCGGGUUGCUGGGCUGACACUGACGCUGAUGUGCGAAAGCUAGGGGAGCGAACGGG
This 254-nucleotide ribosomal RNA is filed under the name uncultured bacterium. Its description in RNAcentral is "partial 16S ribosomal RNA". It matches the Rfam family "Bacterial small subunit ribosomal RNA", at positions 524 to 776 of the family's 1533-position model. The record is from RNAcentral.